AAUUUUCCUCAAGGUACGGAACAACUCAGGGAAACUUGGGCUAAUACCGUAUGAUGCAGAGAUGCCAAAGAUUUAUCGCCUUGGGAUAAGCCCGCGUCAGAUUAGGUAGUUGGUGGGGUAAUGGCCUACCAAGCCUGUGAUCUGUAGCUGGUCUGAGAGGACGAUCAGCCACAUUGGGACUGAGACACGGCCCAAACUCCUACGGGAGGCAGCAGUGGGGAAUCUUGCGCAAUGGACGAAAGUCUGACGCAGCCAUGCCGCGUGAAUGAUGAAGGUCUUAGGAUUGUAAAGUUCUUUAGCCUGUGACGAUGAUGACGGUAACAGGAGAAUAAGCCCCGGCUAACUUCGUGCCAGCAGCCGCGGUAAUACGAAGGGGGCUAGCGUUGUUCGGAAUUACUGGGCGUAAAGCGCGCGUAGGCGGUUAUGCAAGCCAGAGGUGAAAUGCCUGAGCUCAACUUAGGAAUUGCCCUUGGAACUGCAUGGCUUUGAGGACGAGAGAGGUGAGUGGAAUUCCCAGUGUAGAGGUGAAAUUCGUAGAUAUUGGGAAGAACACCGGUGGCGAAGGCGGCUCACUGGCUCGCUUCUGACGCUGUAGCGCGAAAGCGUGGGGAUCAAACAGGAUUAGAUACCCUGGUAGUCCACGCUGUAAACGAUGAG
This 657-nucleotide ribosomal RNA is filed under the name uncultured bacterium. RNAcentral describes it as "bacterial SSU rRNA". It matches the Rfam family "Bacterial small subunit ribosomal RNA", at positions 123 to 813 of the family's 1533-position model. The record is from RNAcentral.